ACUUAAAUAGCUUAUAUAGAGCGCAACAUUGAAGAUGUUGAUGAAAUUAAAUAUUAAUUUUUAGGUA
Molecule: transfer RNA, 67 nt
Filed under: Balta sp. Cairns, Australia
Lineage: Eukaryota; Metazoa; Arthropoda; Insecta; Blattodea; Pseudophyllodromiidae
Description: tRNA-Phe
Source: RNAcentral